UGAGGAAUAGUGGUCAAUGGACGCAAGUCUGAACCAGCCAAGUAGCGUGCAGGAUGACGGCCCUAUGGGUUGUAAACUGCUUUUAUAUGGGGAUAAAGUGGGGAACGUGUUCCCUUUUGCAGGUACCAUAUGAAUAAGGACCGGCUAAUUCCGUGCCAGCAGCCGCGGGAAUACGGAAGGUUCGGGCGUUAUCCGGAUUUAUUGGGGUUAAAGGGAGCGUAGGCCGUUUGGUAAGCGUGUUGUGAAAUGUAGGAGCUCAACUUCUAGAUUGCAGCGCGAACUGUCAGACUUGAGUGCGCACAACGUAGGCGGAAUUCAUGGUGUAGCGGUGAAAUGCUUAGAUAUCAUGAAGAACACCGAUUGCGGAGGCAGCUUACGGGAGCGCAACUGACGCUGAAGCUCGAAGGUGCGGGUAUCGAACAGG
This 424-nucleotide ribosomal RNA is filed under the name Verrucomicrobiota bacterium. RNAcentral's name for it is "Verrucomicrobia bacterium partial 16S ribosomal RNA". It matches the Rfam family "Bacterial small subunit ribosomal RNA", at positions 355 to 776 of the family's 1533-position model. Lineage: Bacteria; Pseudomonadati; Verrucomicrobiota. The record is from RNAcentral.